AAUGAACGCUGGCGGCAUGCCUAACACAUGCAAGUCGAACGAAGGCUUCGGCCUUAGUGGCGCACGGGUGCGUAACGCGUGGGAAUCUGCCCCUUGGUUCGGAAUAACAGUUAGAAAUGACUGCUAAUACCGGAUGAUGACGUAAGUCCAAAGAUUUAUCGCCGAGGGAUGAGCCCGCGUAGGAUUAGCUAGUUGGUGUGGUAAGAGCGCACCAAGGCGACGAUCCUUAGCUGGUCUGAGAGGAUGAUCAGCCACACUGGGACUGAGACACGGCCCAGACUCCUACGGGAGGCAGCAGUGGGGAAUAUUGGACAAUGGGCGAAAGCCUGAUCCAGCAAUGCCGCGUGAGUGAUGAAGGCCUUAGGGUUGUAAAGCUCUUUUACCCGGGAUGAUAAUGACAGGACCGGGAGAAUAAGCUCCGGCUAACUCCGUG
Molecule: ribosomal RNA, 433 nt
Filed under: uncultured bacterium
Lineage: Bacteria
Description: partial 16S ribosomal RNA
Rfam family: Bacterial small subunit ribosomal RNA
Source: RNAcentral